GAAUUUUAAGUAUAAUUUUUGUAUAACUAACUGUUGAUUAGUAGGGUUGAUAAUUCU
Molecule: transfer RNA, 57 nt
Filed under: Wuchereria bancrofti
Lineage: Eukaryota; Metazoa; Nematoda; Chromadorea; Rhabditida; Onchocercidae
Description: tRNA-Asn
Source: RNAcentral